RNAcentral lists this ribosomal RNA (819 nucleotides) under uncultured Actinomycetes bacterium. RNAcentral's name for it is "bacterial SSU rRNA". It matches the Rfam family "Bacterial small subunit ribosomal RNA", at positions 335 to 1167 of the family's 1533-position model. Lineage: Bacteria; Bacillati; Actinomycetota; Actinomycetes. The record is from RNAcentral.
ACUCCUACGGGAGGCUGCAGUGGGGAAUAUUGCACAAUGGGCGCAAGCCUGAUGCAGCAACGCCGCGUGAGGGACGACGGCCUUCGGGUUGUAAACCUCUUUUAGUAGGGAAGAAGCGAAAGUGACGGUACCUGCAGAAAAAGCACCGGCUAACUACGUGCCAGCAGCCGCGGUAAUACGUAGGGUGCAAGCGUUAUCCGGAAUUAUUGGGCGUAAAGAGCUCGUAGGCGGUUUGUCGCGUCUGCUGUGAAAACUGGAGGCUCAACCUCCAGCCUGCAGUGGGUACGGGCAGACUAGAGUGCGGUAGGGGAGAUUGGAAUUCCUGGUGUAGCGGUGGAAUGCGCAGAUAUCAGGAGGAACACCGAUGGCGAAGGCAGAUCUCUGGGCCGUAACUGACGCUGAGGAGCGAAAGCAUGGGGAGCGAACAGGAUUAGAUACCCUGGUAGUCCAUGCCGUAAACGUUGGGAACUAGAUGUAGGGACCAUUCCACGGUUUCUGUGUCGCAGCUAACGCAUUAAGUUCCCCGCCUGGGGAGUACGGCCGCAAGGCUAAAACUCAAAGGAAUUGACGGGGGCCCGCACAAGCGGCGGAGCAUGCGGAUUAAUUCGAUGCAACGCGAAGAACCUUACCAAGGCUUGACAUAUACCGGAAAAGGCUAGAAAUAGUCUCCCCGCAAGGUCGGUAUACAGGUGGUGCAUGGUUGUCGUCAGCUCGUGUCGUGAGAUGUUGGGUUAAGUCCCGCAACGAGCGCAACCCUCGUUCUAUGUUGCCAGCACGUAAUGGUGGGAACUCAUAGGAGACUGCCGGGGUCAACUCGGA